GGGGGGGGGGGGGGGGGGGGCGGGGGCGGGGGGGGCGGGCGGGCGGGCGAGGAGCGUGGGCCUGUGGGGUGAGGGGCGGACGGGUGAGUAACGCGUGGGUAACCUACCUAUAAGACUGGGAUAACUUCGGGAACCCGGAGCUAAUACCGGAUAAUAUAUUGAACCGCAUGGUUCAAUAGUGAAAGACGGGUUUGCUGUCACUUAUAGAUGGAUCCGCGCCGCAUUCGCUAGUUGGUCAGGUAACGGCUUACCAAGGCAACGAUGCGUAGCCGACCUGAGAGGGUGAUCGGCCACACUGGAACUGAGACACGGUCCAGACUCCUACGGGAGGCAGCAGUAGGGAAUCUUCCGCAAUGGGCGAAAGCCUGACGGAGCAACGCCGCGUGAGUGAUGAAGGUCUUCGGAUCGUAAAACUCUGUUAUUAGGGAAGAACAAAUGUGUAAGUAACUAUGCACGUCUUGACGGUACCUAAUCAGAAAGCCACGGCUAACUACGUG
Molecule: ribosomal RNA, 497 nt
Filed under: uncultured bacterium
Lineage: Bacteria
Description: partial 16S ribosomal RNA
Rfam family: Bacterial small subunit ribosomal RNA
Source: RNAcentral